Molecule: ribosomal RNA, 699 nt
Filed under: uncultured bacterium
Lineage: Bacteria
Description: bacterial SSU rRNA
Rfam family: Bacterial small subunit ribosomal RNA
Source: RNAcentral
CACGGAUAACAUACCGAAAGGUAUGCUAAUACGGGAUAAUAUAUUUGAGAGGCAUCUCUUAAAUAUCAAAGGUGAGCCAGUACAGGAUGGACCCGCGUCUGAUUAGCUAGUUGGUAAGGUAACGGCUUACCAAGGCGACGAUCAGUAGCCGACCUGAGAGGGUGAUCGGCCACAUUGGAACUGAGACACGGUCCAAACUCCUACGGGAGGCAGCAGUGGGGAAUAUUGCACAAUGGGCGAAAGCCUGAUGCAGCAACGCCGCGUGAGUGAUGAAGGCCUUCGGGUCGUAAAACUCUGUCCUCAAGGAAGAUAAUGACGGUACUUGAGGAGGAAGCCCCGGCUAACUACGUGCCAGCAGCCGCGGUAAUACGUAGGGGGCUAGCGUUAUCCGGAUUUACUGGGCGUAAAGGGUGCGUAGGCGGUCUUUCAAGUCAGGAGUGAAAGGCUACGGCUCAACCGUAGUAAGCUCUUGAAACUGGGAGACUUGAGUGCAGGAGAGGAGAGUGGAAUUCCUAGUGUAGCGGUGAAAUGCGUAGAUAUUAGGAGGAACACCAGUUGCGAAGGCGGCUCUCUGGACUGUAACUGACGCUGAGGCACGAAAGCGUGGGGAGCAAACAGGAUUAGAUACCCUGGUAGUCCACGCUGUAAACGAUGAGUACUAGGUGUCGGGGGUUACCCCCCUCGGUGCCGCAGCUAACG